GAUGAACGCUGGCGGCGUGCCUAAUACAUGCCAGUCGAGCGAACAGACGAGGAGCUUGCUCCUCUGACGUUAGCGGCGGACGGGUGAGUAACACGUGGAUAACCUACCUAUAAGACUGGGAUAACUUCGGGAAACCGGAGCUAAUACCGGAUAAUAUAUUGAACCGCAUGGUUCAAUAGUGAAAGACGGUUUUGCUGUCACUUAUAGAUGGAUCCGCGCCGCAUUAGCUAGUUGGUAAGGUAACGGCUUACCAAGGCAACGAUGCGUAGCCGACCUGAGAGGGUGAUCGGCCACACUGGAACUGAGACACGGUCCAGACUCCUACGGGAGGCAGCAGUAGGGAAUCUUCCGCAAUGGGCGAAAGCCUGACGCAGCAACGCCGCGUGAGUGAUGAAGGUCUUCGGAUCGUAAAACUCUGUUAUUAGGGAAGAACAAAUGUGUAAGUAACUAUGCACGUCUUGACGGUACCUAAUCAAAAAGCCACGGCUAACUACGUG
This 497-nucleotide ribosomal RNA is filed under the name uncultured bacterium. RNAcentral's name for it is "partial 16S ribosomal RNA". It matches the Rfam family "Bacterial small subunit ribosomal RNA", at positions 28 to 507 of the family's 1533-position model. The record is from RNAcentral.